RNAcentral lists this long non-coding RNA (1784 nucleotides) under Androctonus crassicauda. The record is from RNAcentral. Lineage: Eukaryota; Metazoa; Arthropoda; Arachnida; Scorpiones; Buthidae.
AUUUUAAUUUAGAAAUUUUUCUUCUGGUUCUGACACAGGAGAGAAUUCGAAAUUUUAUCAAGUUUGUAAGCGUAAAUAUUUAUAUGCUUUAACAUUAUCCGUAAUUAAAAUUCAUCUGACACGCUUAGAAAUUUGUUUUCGGAAUAUCUUUCCAACUUUUUAAAAUUUGAAGAACUGGAGAAAGUAAAUUUUGCACAGAAAUUCUUCUUUAUAUAUAAGAUGUUUUUAUUUCAGUAUUUUCAGCGAAACAGGCCACCUCAGCUUUGUUUUACGGAGGCUAAACUUAAACCUGUUUUUGAAUCUAAGAAAAAUAAAGAUAUUUUUCCAACGAAGAUGGGUGAUCCUACUUUCCAGAAUCAAUUUUUCUUUUUUUUUAUAUACACAACUAGUUGAAUUUUUAUAAGAACUUGUGCGUUUUUAUAAACAGUUUUGGAAGAUCUGUUUACGUUAAUCAGAAAUUUUAAAACUUACUUUUCGAUAGAUGAUCAAAAUAGUCGCAUAUUUGUGACCAUAAUACUCGAAUGUCCAUUGAAUAAUUUAACUUCUUACGUUACUUAUUCAUACCUACCACGAUUAUUUGCCUAUUAAGAUGUUUAUUCAGUAGAAAGUUUUGUGGUUAUAACGUAUUAGGUUGCAUUUUAGCUGUGACGGAGAAUUAAGGAGUGCAGACCUAAUUUGGAAAAAUAUAUCCUGCCAAUCGACGUUAUAGAAAGGCAGAAAGAAGCGCCCAAGAUAGGUAUCCUUCCGAAAAACGGGGAUAAAUCAAUCACGUAUAACACUCAUUGACCAGAUGAGGGAAUAUGAGGUGGACAACAGUCCCCAGCUGCCUGACAUGGUGACCACAGGAAGAAGAAAAAAGCCUCUGAAAUGCGGACGGUCUUGUUAGACAGAAGUCUAAUUGACUAUUUACUGCAUCUCGAGUUUUAUAGCAAAAUAAGUUAUUCGGGACCUUAUCGGGACCAUCUAACCCCAGAAAGUAAAAUGGAGCUAGAAGUUGAUGGCUACUUGCUAGUAGUAAAUUUAUCACUGGUGAAAGAUGGAAAUCUAUGUAGAAAUAUCGAGAUUUUGCUGAUUAGUUAAAAAACCAUCAGUCUUCGAAAGUAAUAUUCAGAAACUGCUGAUCAAACAGACGUCGCACCUGCUUGAAUUACGUAAACGUGUUUCAGCUGCACCGAACAACGACAGAAUUGUCGAACAGGAAACAUUUGACACCCUUCAUUUGUUUCACUAGUUAAUGCUAUAAUCUAAAAUUAUCUCUAGACGUUCUUCUCUUCUUUAUCUGAUUUUUCGAAACUUUCCGAAUUUUUAAUUACGUUACAAACAAAAGAGAACGAUUUUCAUAAUCCGCUUACAGAUUUCUUUCAGAUUAUCAAGGUAAAAGCAGGUGUAUUUUUAAGGUUGGGAGUGGAAAAUUUUAAUUUUUCUUGUGACAGCUUUAUCGUCAGAUGUUUAGCGAUAAUUUUGAUAGGUUUUUCAUUACUAGAGAUAUUCGAAUCUCAGAAAGUCAGAUAGAGAUGUCAAGCCAAAAUUAAAACGAUUUAAAUUUUGUACUGGGUGGCCACAUACAGCGAUUUGAUCUAUUUAUAUAUACAUGGCAUGUAUUACCUCGAAGAAAAGGUUAAUAAAAUUGUAAAUUUCGUUAUAAAAUUUCAUUUUUAUCUCAUCCAUCGUCGAUGCUAUAUAAAUUCAGCUAAAAAAUUUUUCCCAUAAAAAUUCUCUCAAUUUAAAAUGUAAAUCAUGCAUAAAGAGGAUAAAAAUGGAAUGUAGUCUUUGUUUCUUUGUUG